UGCCAGCAGCCGCGGUAAUACGGAAGGUCCAAGCGUUAAUCGGAAUUACUGGGCGUAAAGCGCGCGUAGGUGGUUUAUUAAGUUGGAUGUUAAAUCCCCGGGCUCAACCUGGGAACUGCAUCCAAAACUGAUUCACUAGAGUACGAUAGAGGGAGGUAGAAUUCACAGUGUAGCGGUGGAAUGCGUAGAUAUUGUGAAGAAUACCAAUGGCGAAGGCAGCCUCAUGGAUCUGUAAUGAAACUGAGGUGAGAACGCGUGGGUCGCGAACAGGAUUAGAUC
Molecule: ribosomal RNA, 279 nt
Filed under: uncultured bacterium
Lineage: Bacteria
Description: partial 16S ribosomal RNA
Rfam family: Bacterial small subunit ribosomal RNA
Source: RNAcentral